Monodelphis domestica (gray short-tailed opossum) is the source of this 8920-nucleotide non-coding RNA. The record is from RefSeq and is a predicted model, not a curated record. NCBI's taxonomy places the organism in Eukaryota, Metazoa, Chordata, Mammalia, Didelphimorphia, Didelphidae.
UUCUGAGAUGAAGGGGUUAUUGUAGGUAUUAGUGUCUUAUUAUCUAGUAUAUUUGAGACCCAUUGACCCUCAUUUUGCUUUAUUUUAUGGUAAGAAUAAAAAAGAUACAAAGUAAGUUAUACUCAUAUAUGAGGCCCAUGUAUGUUUAUUUCUAACGGUUUGUCCUAUGAAGAAAUAGAAACAACCUUAAGCUUAAGUGGCUCCUAUUACUUUACUUAGUAAUAUCAUAUAGUGUACAAUAGUGUUAUAUCCCUGGUUUGGUCUUCCAGUACUAGGAACUAGGACAAUAAUUGAUAGGCAUGCCACUUGACAAGUUAAAGAGAACUGUUAAAAAUCUACUGAUAGUGAUCCUCAUGAAAAUUCAGGAGAUUGUAAAGGUUAGUUCAAACUGUAAAGUGUGUCUUAGGUGCUCAGUAUUUGGAAAAUUGGAAGUUACAGAUUAGAGAAAGGACUGUAGACCAAACAGAAGCAUAGAACAGACUGAAGCAUGCACAGUAUCCUUUCCUUUUCAUUCUUUCACUUAUUUGUUCUUUGCUUUUUGCUUUUGGCAAAAACAUUUCUCAUUUUGGAUUGUCACAGAAUAAAUUUAUGUUUAGAAUAUAUUUAAAAGAAGAAAAAGGUAGGAAUUGGCUUCCCCAUUAGAGUACAAAAUUGAAUUUACACCAGAUUAGAGCAAGGACAGAGGAAGACACUAGAUCAUGGGCCUGGAUAGGCAUAAAUGGAUGAGGUGGGAAGAAAAAGAGUAGGAAAUGGAAGCAGCACAUAGGUUUAGGUAAGCACUUAGUCUGUAUACUUGAAGACAUAUUGCGAACUUUAGAUUACUCCACCCUACUUAGUCUAACAAAAGCAGGAAUAUCUACACCCAUACUUAAGUAUUAAGUAUUUAGGAGGAUGGCCUAUGACAGACAUGUGCUAGCAAAUGACAAAUCAGAAACAACUGACAGACCCCCAGGCUGUCCUGAGUCAAGCUUAAGCUACCAUUGGUACAUGUAAGAUGCAGGAAAGUGAUGUAAAAACCAUCUAUCUAUUUCGUGUCACUUCCUCUCUCCAGCCUCUUUUGCGGCGGAGAGGUGGCUGGUGGAGCCUGCUGAGCUUUUCGGCAUCUUGGGUGGUGGCUGCUAUUGUCCGGGUUUAGCAGUGAGUUUUCCUUAAUACCAUACUGGAGGAAGCUGAGUAGCCUAGUUCAGGUGAGGCAUCUUUACUGAGCUCUAUCGGAGUUUAGGCUGAUUCUUUCUCCUUUACCUUCCAAACACUAUCCUCUUAGAAAGCCACUAAUCUUCAUAGACCUCAUGGCAGAGGACUUUUAACUUCCCCUGGCACAGACCAGGUGGGAGAAAUCCUACACCCUUUCCCUCUCCUUAAUUCCUUCCCUCUAUAUUAAUUAAACCACCAUAAAUUUCCAAACUGACUUGGGUGUUUUAUUUGAGAUAUUCCCUGGUGACCAAAAUUAAUUUAGACUAAGUCACAACCCUAAAAUUAUCCUUAUAGUUGGGAGGUGUAAAACUCAGUUACCACCUGCUUUCAAGGACCAUAUUAUCCUAGACAAUAGUUCUAAGUUGGCACACUUUGUUAGCCAUUCAAUGAAGCAUGACUGCAUGAUUUAGAGAUGUGUAUAUCUGGGAGGCAAGUAGAAGUCUUCUUCACUUCACUUCAGACUGAUGUGAGUGACACUGGACACUUUCUUUCCACUUCUCUUCCCCUUACCCAUUUGGUCUUGGAUGGGAAGGAGGAAAAAGAAUGGAACUUCUUGAAAUUCUUUAGUGAAGGCCUUAUUUUCCUUGGCAUAAUCAGGGAUAUAUAAGAAGUAUAAAAUAAAUAAAGAAUAGGGCAAUAAAUGUGUAUUGCAUAUGUAAUGCUUGCAGAAAGCUGUUAAGUAUAAAAAUGUCCACUUAAAGACUAUGGUUUCUUUAGGGACUCAUAUACAUAAUGAAAUAGUUAAUUAACAUUAUAAGACCACAUAUGGAUUAAAUGUUAAAUGUUAGUGAUAGCAACAUUAGGAGCUAAAAGAAUUCAGUGGGUUAACUACAAUAUUUGAAUCAGACUAUUUUGGUAAACUACUCUUUAAUUAUGAAUGCUUUCUCUCACUUUUUGUCAUAACUGAAAUAAAUACACACCAUAUAUACCACACCCAGGAUAGAGAAAGGAAUAAAUACAUACCAUAUCUCACAGAAAUGUCAUCUUUUUUGAUAUUCUUGAUUAGUAGAACAUGAGAAAGGAUUGGAUCUCAUGUUCUACAGUGCUUUUUCAAGGUUAUUGGUUUCUCAACCCCUUUGCUCUUCUCAUUAUUUAAAGUAUUUGACAUUCUACUAUAUUAUACUCUAAAUCUUUGCUGCUUUAUUUUAUUGCCCCCUUUAUCUUCUUCAGUUAUUUAUCACUGCCUUGCAUAUUUUCUUUUGAUCCCCUUUUUUUGUUGAUGAAUCACCUGACUUAACCUUACAAUUAUUUCCCUACUUUAAUCCCAUUUCAACUAAAUUUAGUUCAGUUCACCAUCCAUUUAUUUAGAACUGACCACACGUAGUGAACUUUGUUAGAUGUUGGAAAUACAAAGAAUAAAGCAAGAUGAUGCAAGAGGAGAGGUACAAUUUAAAAUUUGGUAGCUCAUAGGAGAAUACCAAGCCAAGGUGCUUGACAGAAUGGAGAAAAGGAGAAUUAUAUUUCCUCCAUAUUCCUUUCAAUGCAAGUCUUUAUUAGUCAUUAUUAAUGUUUGGAAAGCACCAUGGUAAGUGUUUGGGAGACAAAAAAAAAAGGUAAAAGAAUCCCUGCUCUCAAGGCACUUCUGUACUAUUGGAAAAUAUAAUAGAUAAUAGGAUCAGGAAAUACAAAAUAACUUGAAUAGGAUGUUGGAGAACCCUAACAAGUAAUGAGACAUUGGUGAGAGAAAUAAAUUGUAAAUGUGAUAACCUUUGAAAGACUUUUAAAAACUGACGAAUGCAGUGAUAAAUUAUAAAUCUGAAAAAAUGAAGAUAAAAGCAUACUAUUCACUUCUGACCAAGAUUCACUUCUGCAGAAAGCGACAACUAAAAUGGAGAUUUAUGUUGCCAUUCUCUGUAGAAAUGUAUUAAAAGAUUUGGGGGGUGUUGUUCUUUUUUUAAAAUUUGCUUAAUGGGGUGAGGUUAAUGGGAGAAAGAGGUGAAUAGAAAAUACUUGUUACUUGGAAAAAAAGAAUGAGGGAAAUAUGAGCAUGUUUAUAUACAGUGAGCAAGGAGCUGAUGAAAAAUAAGAGAGUGAAACUUAAAGAGAAGAGAGAGGGGAGAUCACCUUAAGAAGAAAGCUCCCAAAGGAGAUAGAAAGGAAUUAGGAUUAAGGAUGCAAGCAGAAGGUUAAAGGUGUAGAGAAUUGGCAAUAAGGAACUCCCUCCAAAUCUUUUUCUUCAUUUUCUCAAUAAGGCAAUAAAGCAUGAAGCAAGUUAUUUUCUGCCGAAAGGGAGUUAAGAUUUAUAAGGAUAAUAGCAGUAAUUUUUAGAUCGUAUAAAUUUGGGUUAGUCAGAUCAGGGAGGAUUAGCAUAGCUUGUGAAACACAGGAAAAGCGGUUCCUUGCAGAAUCUGGUAGUUUACUUAGGUGGAUUUAGAAUCCCUUAGAAUUAGAAAUCUUUUAUUUAUCCUAAUAUAUUUCAAAAAAUAUUUUAUGUUUAUAAUAAGAGUCUCUUUAGCGUCCUUGCGCCUGGCCGUGAAGGGAAGUUCACAUUUGAGCUUUAAUUCAUCACUGAGGAUACUUUUGAUUAUCUCUAUCAAAAGUAUCCAGUUUGAACCUGAUUGAAAUGGAUACAUUGUGGCACAAUCGAUUGUAAUAGACUUUUCCACUAGCAGCAAUGCAAUGUCCCGGGACAACCCAGAAGAACUUAGGAGAAAGAAUGCUAUCCACGUCCAGAGAAAGAAUUGUGGGAGCAGAAACACAAAAGAAAAACAUGAUCGAUCAUGUGGUUCAGUAGGGAUAUGAUUAGGAUUUUGAUGUUAAAAGAUCGCUGUAUUACAAAUAUGAAUAACAUGGAAAUCGGUUUUGAACAAUGAUACAUGUAUAAAACCCAGUGAAACUGCUUGUCAGCUUCAGGAGUGGGGAAGAAAGAGCAGGGAGUGGGGCAGAAUUAUGAAUCAUAUAACCAUGGAAAAAUUCUAAAUUAAAAAAGACAAUAAAAAAGAAUAAAGGCUAUGUACAUUAUAACACUUAAAUAUUUUUUGACUAAAUGACUGUCAUCAUUUCUUGGGAGUGAAUUGGGCGUUGUCUGAAUGUCAGGAUGGUUAGAAACCUGAUAUUUGUCUUUGCAUCAGUCAUAGUUGCAUCUUAUCAUCACAUAUUACCAUUUCACCUCUAAGACACUGAACUUUGUGCUAACCCUGUCACAUCACCACUACCUUACCUGUUAGCCUAUCCACGUCUCCACAGUUAUUAAAACUGCUGCUUUUCCAUGUCUUUUGUGAUCAUUGGUCUUUUAAUUGUUUAUCCAUUUACCUACACUGAGUUCCUUAAGCAGUCCUGACUGUAAGCAGAAAAGUGGUUAAUUAUAAAAAAAAGUUUGGACUGGAUUAUUUAAGAAUAGGGUUGUCAGGAAUUUAAUUGAUUCCAAAGAGAUUUAUUUAUAAUUUAUUUACAAAAUAUAGAAGGAGUGAAGUGAGAAAAUCAGAGAGGAUAGGGUAAUAUAUCUAGCCUAAGCACCAAGUAAUUUACUCCCUGCCCUGGCCUCAACCUGGAAAGAGAGAGUUACUCCUUAGCCAGAGAGGCCUGUAAAGCCAAGGACCUGGGGGAGUCUCUCUCAAGAGGCUGAUCUUUCUUUAGGCUAGUCUCUUCAGAAAAUCCAGGAAAAGAGUCAGCUUUUUCACUCAUCACGUGUCAGUCCAAAGGGAGUGAAGGAUAGUCUCACCAGGAACAAGGUCUCAGGUCCAGUCAGCAGAUGCUUCAGCAGCCUCCAACUCAAACUCAGACCUCCAGAAGAAGCCAAAAUACAAGUUGAACUUCCCUUAGGAAGUUGUAACUCCCUUUUAAAGACACUUUCUUUUGUGUCACUUCCUAUGCCUUCCCCUAAUUUUAUGUCUAUCAAUCACACUUAGGACUGCCCAGGGGGCAGUCAGUUUGAUUCUGAUUUGGCACCCGUUAUUACACACGUGGAUCACAGACCUCCCCCUACUCAAUGAUAAAGUGGGAUAUUUACACUUUCGGUGAUUAAAUCUAAAAAUGGGCAGGGGAGUUAAUUUUCACAAUCAGAGGAGGGUUAAGUUCAUUUUCACAAUCAGGGGAGAGUUAAAUUUAAUCUUCACAUGACUUCUUGGUAAAUGACAUUGAAAAAUUAGAAUAUGUCCGGAGGAGGGCUACCAGGAUGGUGUGAAGGCUAUUAGAGCCAUAUCACAUAAUAAUUAGUUGAAGGGAGACAUUUAAUUUGCAGAAGAUCAAGCAAGAGCACAAUAAUUGUAUGGAUGUAUCUGAAGGGCUCGUGUGUGGAAAAGGGAAAAGACUAAUAUGGGUAGGUGGGCAGAACUAAUGGGUGGAAACUUUAGGUUGUCAUAGUGGGAGCUCACUAUGAGGAAUAACUUACCUAACUCUGAGGAACUUAACAGUUGGAGCUAUCCAAAAGUGAAAAGGAAUACUAAAAUAGUGAUUAGAUAGUAACUGGAGUUGUUCAAGCAAAUAUUUAAUUGACCACUCUUUUAGGAUAUCUAAAAGGAAAUUCCAUAUUAGAGGGGAAGCAGAACAAUAUUUCCAAGAUACUUUCAAAUCUUACAUCCUAGAGGUAUUAUGGUAUAAUGGUUUAAGGUCACUGGGCUCAAAGUCACAUCUAAAUUCUAGUUCCAACUUUGCUAUUCAUGGGCAAAGUAUUAUGUGCCCAUAGAUGGCAGUUUAAUUUUUCCAGGAACCUACUGUGCAAUUUGGGUUCUCAAUAAAAGCUGAAUGAAUAAGUAAAUGAACAUUUCUGAUCUGUGGUAUUUCUCUUCUGGAAGCAUCUAGAUAGGUGAUGCAUUCAUUAGAUAAAAAUGUUGGAGCUGGAAUCAGAGAGAACUGGUUUCAAAUUUGAACUAUGGCAUUUGGGGGCUAUCUGACCCUGGAGAAGUCACUUCACUUCUGUCUGCUCAGUUUCUUUCAGUGUAAAAUGAGACUAAUAAUAGAACCCCACUUCCUAGGCUUGUUGUGAAAAAGGAAAGAAGAAAUGAAGGAAGAAUGCCUACUAUGUGCCAGGCUUUGUGCUCAGCACUUUACAAAUAUUAUGUUUUCCUCACAAUAAUCUUGGGAGGUAGUUGUUACUAUUAAACACCUUUUAUAGUUGAGGAAACUGAAUUUGAAAGAUAAGUGACUUGCCUAAGGUCGAGUCUUACAUUAAUUAAUAAGUGUCUGAGCCUGGAUUUGAAUGCAGCUGUUUCUUUUGAAUGAAAGUUUUUAGCUCCAUCAGUAUCCAUGCCUAGAUAUUUUGUAAAGCCCUCUGUAAACCUUAAAGUGUUAUAUUAGUGCUAGCUAUUAUUAUCAUUAAUUUAUCUUAUUUUUAUUUUCAAAUGGACAGCUUUUUAUAUAUUACAUGAAAUUAUGAAAUGGCAACCUUUAAUUUUAGAGGUCAAGGGAUUUCAUACAUACAUUAUUUAUUAAAAAGAAAUUUGAAGAGAAGACUUCCGGGUAAACACAGUGGCAAUCUAGACAUGAAUUGCUUCCUCUCCCCCGAACUGAACGAAAUAGACUACCUCAAAAGACCACAGAAAUCAUCUUUAGAAGAUUGGAGGGACUCACUAGCAGCCCACAGCAACGACGGUACAUGGGUUUUGAACAUUUCCACACUAUAAGAGGGAGAGAAAGCUCGCUGCCAAGCAUGAGCUGAGCUGAGCUGCCCUCCUCUACCCCGGAGUAGGGACCAGUGCACUCACUGGAGACAGCGAGUGAGUGAGGAACAUCUCUGCAGUGAGUGGGGAGCACUCCAGGGUCCUUGGGAUCUAAAGAGGAUUCCCAGAGAACUACCGCUCAGAGCAGUUUCACUGGAGAGCGCGCAGACCGUGGGGGCUUCUGCAAACUGCAAACGCCGUGGUGGCUCUAGAAAUUGCCUGAGGCAAAAUCUCCUCUGCUCCUUGUUGUAGGGGGGAGGGGCACGCCAGGGUCCCUGGGAACUGAUAAGGACUACCAGGGAUCUAUCCCGUGGAGUAGUUUUACAGGGGAAGCCUGCCAGCGUGGGAGAGAAGAGACCACUGACUGCAUGGGUGGUGCACUAACAAACUUUGGAGGCUGGGAAGAAUCAGCCUGAGGCAAAAACAUCAAAAUCUGCCCAUUUCACUCAGAUUUCUGACUGAAAAGGAAAGGGAAAACCACCAAAGGGAUGUCUCAGAGUGCCCAAGAUCAACCCUCCAAGAAGAAAGGGAAAACCCAGGCUACAGACAAAAAAAGAGGAUGAAAUGCUAACAAAAUUAAAACACGCCCCCCCAAAAUGGAAACUAUCCACAAGCUCAGGAAGAACUCAAAAUGGAGCUUAUCCAAAAGAUGGAAACCUUCUGGCAAGAAAAAUGGGAACAAAUUCAAAAAGAGGUCUUUAGCCUGAUAGACAAAAUCUCACAAUUGGAGAAAGAGUUGGAAGCCUCUAACAGAAGGGAAGACCAAACUGAAAAGCAAAACCAGUUCUUAAAGACCAGAAUUAAGCAACUGGAAGACAGUAAUCUUGCAAAACAGGAAGAUUUGAUAAAGCAAUGUCAAAAAAUUAAUGCAAUAGAAGAAAACAUAAUAUCUCCCUGAAAAGGUGACAGACCAGGAAAACAGAGGAAGGAGAGACAACUUGAGAAUUAUUGGUCUACCUGAAAAACCAGAGAUUAACAAAAACUUCGUUGCCAUACUACAAGAAAUCAUCAAAGAGAAUUGCCCUGACAUUCUCAAACAAGAGGACAAAAUAGAAAUCUAAAGAGUUCAUAGAACACCCUCUAUACUAAACCCCCAAAAGACAACCCCCAGGAAUGUAAUCGCCAAAUUCAAGAGCUUCCAAACUAAGGAGAAAAUAUUACAAGAAGCUAGGAAGAGAAACUUCAGAUACAGAGGCUUGUCAAUAAGGAUCACACAUGACCUAGCAGCGAACAAGCUAAGAGACCAUAAAGCCUGGAACACAAUAUACAGAAAAGCAAGAGAACUGGGUCUUCAACCAAGAAUCAGCUACCCAUCAAAACUGACUAUAUACUUCCAGGGGGAAGUAUGGGCAUUUGACAAAAUAGAAGAUUUCCAAAUAUUCAUAAAGAAAAGACCAGAACUCAGUGGAAAGUUUGACAUCCAAACACAAAGAGCAAGAGAAACAUGAAAAGGUAAAUAUGAAAGAAAGGGAAAAGGAGAAAAGUGUUUUAGUUUUUCUUUUAUUCAAACUCUCUUCUAUAAGGGCCACAAUUAGAUCAAAUUAUAUAUACUAACAUAUGGGGGAAAUGUUAUGUGCAACUUUCAAAAAUUGUAUGCAUUAAUAGAGUAAUCAGAAGAGUCACUCAUAGGGAAAGAUUGGGGCAUUAACAUGAUUUGGAGUGGAGGGAGGAAAAAAUAAAGAAAAAGGAAAGCGGGAAUCAAGGUACUAAGAUAUACUUGAAAAAACAGAAAUACAUUAAAUAGAACAAUCUUUGUCACACAAAGAUAUACAUGGGAAGGGGAGGAGAAGAAUUCUUUUAUAAGAAGGAGAAGAAAAGAGCCAAUUGGCAAUACUAAUACCUUACUCUCAGUGAAACCAACUCUGAGAGGGAAGAGCAUCUAGAUCCAUUGGGAUCUUAAUUCUAUCUUACCCAACAGGAUAAGGGAGAAGGGAAAACCAAGGGAGGUGGGGGGGGGGAACUGUUAUGGUGGAAAUUUUCACCUUUAGGAUUGAUGUAAUAUUGAACAAUGGCCGCCAAGGAAUUUACUUAUGAAAUUCCUAAAAUGACUCAAGUCAGAAUGGAGUUUAUGGAGGUUUAAUCACACUGGGAGUAGGGAAAGGAGAGGGAGAGAAGGAGAGAAGAGAAAA